AUUGCACAAUGGGGGGAACCCUGAUGCAGCAACGCCGCGUGAGUGAAGAAGGCCUUCGGGUUGUAAAGCUCUGUCUUAGCUGACGAUAAUGACGGUAAGCUAGGAGGAAGCCACGGCUAACUACGUGCCAGCAGCCGCGGUAAUACGUAGGUGGCGAGCGUUGUCCGGAAUUACUGGGCGUAAAGGGUGCGUAGGCGGCUAUUUAAGUGGGAUGUGAAAACCAUGGGCUUAACUCAUGACGUGCAUUCCAAACUGGGUAGCUAGAGUGCAGGAGAGGAAAGCGGAAUUCCCAGUGUAGCGGUGAAAUGCGUAGAGAUUGGGAGGAACACCAGUGGCGAAGGCGGCUUUCUGGACUGUAACUGACGCUGAUGCACGAGAGCGUGGGGAGCAAACA
RNAcentral lists this ribosomal RNA (394 nucleotides) under uncultured bacterium. Its description in RNAcentral is "bacterial SSU rRNA". It matches the Rfam family "Bacterial small subunit ribosomal RNA", at positions 363 to 774 of the family's 1533-position model. The record is from RNAcentral.